GAUGAACGCUGGCGGCGUGCCUAAUACAUGCAAGUCGAGCGAACGGACGAGAAGCUUGCUUCUCUGAUGUUAGCGGCGGACGGGUGAGUAGCACGUGGAUAACCUACCUAUAAGACUGGGAUAACUUCGGGAAACCGGAGCUAAUACCGGAUAAUAUUUUGAACCGCAUGGUUCAAAAGUGAAAGACGGUCUUGCUGUCACUUAUAGAUGGAUCCGCGCUGCAUUAGCUAGUUGGUAAGGUAACGGCUUACCAAGGCAACGAUGCAUAGCCGACCUGAGAGGGUGAUCGGCCACACUGGAACUGAGACACGGUCCAGACUCCUACGGGAGGCAGCAGUAGGGAAUCUUCCGCAAUGGGCGAAAGCCUGACGGAGCAACGCCGCGUGAGUGAUGAAGGUCUUCGGAUCGUAAAACUCUGUUAUUAGGGAAGAACAUAUGUGUAAGUAACUGUGCACAUCUUGACGGUACCUAAUCAGAAAGCCACGGCUAACUACGUGCCAGCAGCCGCGGUAAUACGUAGGUGGCAAGCGUUAUCCGGAAUUAUUGGGCGUAAAGCGCGCGUAGGCGGUUUUUUAAGUCUGAUGUGAAAGCCCACGGCUCAACCGUGGAGGGUCAUUGGAAACUGGAAAACUUGAGUGCAGAAGAGGAAAGUGGAAUUCCAUGUGUAGCGGUGAAAUGCGCAGAGAUAUGGAGGAACACCAGUGGCGAAGGCGACUUUCUGGUCUGUAACUGACGCUGAUGUGCGAAAGCGUGGGGAUCAAACAGGAUUAGAUACCCUGGUAGUCCACGCCGUAAACGAUGAGUGCUAAGUGUUAGGGGGUUUCCGCCCCUUAGUGCUGCAGCUAACGCAUUAAGCACUCCGCCUGGGGAGUACGACCGCAAGGUUGAAACUCAAAGGAAUUGACGGGGACCCGCACAAGCGGUGGAGCAUGUGGUUUAAUUCGAAGCAACGCGAAGAACCUUACCAGGUCUUGACAUCCCUCUGACCGCUCUAGAGAUAGAGUUUUCCUUCGGGACAGAGGUGACAGGUGGUGCAUGGUUGUCGUCAGCUCGUGUCGUGAGAUGUUGGGUUAAGUCCCGCAACGAGCGCAACCCCUAUUGUUAGUUGCCAUCAUUCAGUUGGGCACUCUAGCGAGACUGCCGGUAAUAAACCGGAGGAAGGUGGGGAUGACGUCAAAUCAUCAUGCCCCUUAUGACCUGGGCUACACACGUGCUACAAUGGCUGGUACAACGAGUCGCAAGCCGGUGACGGCAAGCUAAUCUCUUAAAGCCAGUCUCAGUUCGGAUUGUAGGCUGCAACUCGCCUACAUGAAGUCGGAAUCGCUAGUAAUCGCGGAUCAGCACGCCGCGGUGAAUACGUUCCCGGGCCU
Molecule: ribosomal RNA, 1370 nt
Filed under: uncultured bacterium
Lineage: Bacteria
Description: bacterial SSU rRNA
Rfam family: Bacterial small subunit ribosomal RNA
Source: RNAcentral